ACGGGAGAGGGUAGGAGGCGCUCGAGGAGCUUGAGCUUGGGGAGGAGAUUGGAGGGGACGUUGGUGGUGAGGACAGUAGGGCGGCGGCGGACGAAGGAGUGGAGCUGGCGGGGGGAGAGGCCGGCGUGGCGGUGGAGGAAGGCGAGGACGGCGUCAGGCUUGUCGGGGGUGGUGAUGUGGAGGAGGGAUUUGGAGGCGACGAGGGCCUUAUCCUUGGA
This 218-nucleotide long non-coding RNA is filed under the name Elaeis guineensis (African oil palm). RNAcentral's name for it is "long non-coding RNA (EGUI_LNC024746)". The record is from RNAcentral. Lineage: Eukaryota; Viridiplantae; Streptophyta; Magnoliopsida; Arecales; Arecaceae.